RNAcentral lists this ribosomal RNA (253 nucleotides) under uncultured bacterium. RNAcentral describes it as "partial 16S ribosomal RNA". It matches the Rfam family "Bacterial small subunit ribosomal RNA", at positions 524 to 776 of the family's 1533-position model. The record is from RNAcentral.
UACGUAGGGUGCAAGCGUUAAUCGGAAUUACAGGGCGUAAAGCGUGCGCAGGCGGUUUUGUAAGUCUGUCGUGAAAGCCCCGGGCUCAACCUGGGAAUUGCGAUGGAGACUGCAAGGCUUGAAUCUGGCAGAGGGGGGUAGAAUUCCACGUGUAGCAGUGAAAUGCGUAGAGAUGUGGAGGAACACCGAUGGCGAAGGCAGCCCCCUGGGUCAAGAUUGACGCUCAUGCACGAAAGCGUGGGGAGCAAACAGG